UAGGGAGACCUAAUCCAUUUAGAAAUCGAAAACAAUGAAAAUUGUCAAUAGAAACUAAAUUGGUCUAACCUAGGUCGUUCGAGAUUGGUAGACAUCUUUCAAAGUACUAUUCGGCUUCGUUCAAAACCAUAUAUAAUAAAUGGAAAAAGACAGCACCUAAUUGUCAAAGUUAGACUGCUGGAUGAAAUUCCAGCCAGAACCUUGAAAACUGCAUAAGAGAACAAGAAAAAGCAGGCAGACACAGACAUUUAGAUGGAUGUGGAAGCAAAAGAAAUUGU
Molecule: unclassified non-coding RNA, 278 nt
Filed under: uncultured Anabaena sp.
Lineage: Bacteria; Bacillati; Cyanobacteriota; Cyanophyceae; Nostocales; Nostocaceae
Description: partial 16S-23S ribosomal RNA intergenic spacer
Source: RNAcentral